GUGAAGUGCAAAUUCGCCAACGUACCCCAAAAGGGUGCCGGGGCUU
This 46-nucleotide transfer RNA is filed under the name Paroedura picta. RNAcentral's name for it is "partial tRNA-Cys". The record is from RNAcentral. Lineage: Eukaryota; Metazoa; Chordata; Lepidosauria; Squamata; Gekkonidae.